RNAcentral lists this long non-coding RNA (645 nucleotides) under Musa acuminata (dwarf banana). Its description in RNAcentral is "long non-coding RNA (MACU_LNC011654)". Lineage: Eukaryota; Viridiplantae; Streptophyta; Magnoliopsida; Zingiberales; Musaceae. The record is from RNAcentral.
CGAGACGAUUAUUUUGGGGCUCGGAAUUUGCCGUGACCGGUACGCAGUCAGUAUCGUGGGGCUCGGAGAGAGCUUUCCGGAUUGGGGUCGCAAUAGCUAUAUAUCUAAUUUCUUAUUAUUAAAGUGCAAUAGCUAACAAGUUCUAAUGCUAAGCGCUUUCCAAAGGUUAGAGCGACUGAUCAAGCUUUAGUAUUUGAAAGAAGUGCGGGGGCCUAUGUAGAUCCUUUAGCAGGUUCUUUUCUUUCUAUCUCUCCAUUUUCUUUCCUUUUCAUUCAUUCCAUAGGCGUAGUAUCAUUCUCACCAGCCCAGUACCAGAUCACUGCUUUGAGUUGAAGUUUCAGUUCCUCCCUUCUCCUGCUUUUCUAUUUGAUAGGCCCGACUUUACUGUAUUGAUUGCUCUCCCCUAGUUUUUGCUUUGUUCUCGCUCGGUUAAUGGACUUGAACCCGUCUUUAUAUUGAAAGUUUGUAACUUAGGCUUACUUACAUAGGGUGGAAUUCUCUUCGGACUCUUAAUAUGAAACAAAAGAGGAGGUUGAGCCCAUAGUCGAAGAAAGUGUGCUACUACCAAAGAAAUAAAGGCCAAGCGUAUACUCAAAAAGCAACGCGCCUUGCCUUGCUUCCUUCCUUUGCUAACCCUAUCCUAGC